AGCGAACGCUGGCGGCAGGCUUAACACAUGCAAGUCGAACGGGCGUAGCAAUACGUCAGUGGCAGACGGGUGAGUAACGCGUGGGAACGUACCUUUUGGUUCGGAACAACCCAGGGAAACUUGGGCUAAUACCGGAUAAGCCCUUACGGGGAAAGAUUUAUCGCCGAAAGAUCGGCCCGCGUCUGAUUAGCUUGUUGGUGAGGUAACGGCUCACCAAGGCGACGAUCAGUAGCUGGUCUGGAGAGGAUGAUCAGCCACAUUGGGACUGAGACACGGCCCAAACUCCUACGGGAGGCAGCAGUGGGGAUAUUGGACAAUGGGCGCAAGCCUGAUCCAGCCAUGCCGCGUGAGUGAUG
RNAcentral lists this ribosomal RNA (356 nucleotides) under uncultured bacterium. Its description in RNAcentral is "bacterial SSU rRNA". It matches the Rfam family "Bacterial small subunit ribosomal RNA", at positions 29 to 410 of the family's 1533-position model. The record is from RNAcentral.